ACGGCCUCGCUCUCUUUUCCUUUCACUCACGCGGCACAGUCACCCACUCACCGCUCACUGCUCACUUCCAUCUUCCAUUCUUCCUCCUCCAUGCGGCCAUGUCUGAGAGAAUGAGAGCCUGAGAGAGCCAGAGAGCCAGAGAGCAUCGUCCAUUCAUCUCCAUCGCAGGCUUGCAGGCGUAGCAAAGAUUAGCAUCGUCGUGUAGCCAGCAGCAUCGUCCAGUUCGCGUCCUCGUGCAGUCCGGAGUCCACGCCGUCGUCCAGUCAUAAGCCGUCGGAACAAACCCUACGUCGUGGCAAGAAACCCUAAGCAGAGCAGCACUCCAGUCGCCGAGCCCUCUCCUGCAAAAAGCACAACAAUGUCUUCUUCGGAGUUUCAUGUUCCUUUGGAGGAGUGUUCAUCUGUGUUGGGAAUGUGCGAAUUUGACCCCUACUAAACUUUUUUUUCUUAAGUGUCAUGCAUGCAGUACGCACUACUUGCUGCUGGGAAGUAAGAGUGUUGGAAAGAUUCAAAUGAGUACUUCUAAAAUAUAUUUUUUCUGUAAUCAAGCUGAUUUACAAUUACAAUAGAUUUUUAGCUAGAGAUUCAGAUAGAGUUGUUUAUAAGUUAUUGUUAUUCAAAGAAGGAAAGUAAGAGUUUACGAGAUAUUAGAGUUC
This is a long non-coding RNA of Arachis ipaensis, 656 nucleotides long. RefSeq lists it as uncharacterized. The record is from RefSeq and is a predicted model, not a curated record. NCBI's taxonomy places the organism in Eukaryota, Viridiplantae, Streptophyta, Magnoliopsida, Fabales, Fabaceae.